RNAcentral lists this ribosomal RNA (644 nucleotides) under Brevundimonas vesicularis. RNAcentral describes it as "bacterial SSU rRNA". It matches the Rfam family "Bacterial small subunit ribosomal RNA", at positions 75 to 760 of the family's 1533-position model. Lineage: Bacteria; Pseudomonadati; Pseudomonadota; Alphaproteobacteria; Caulobacterales; Caulobacteraceae. The record is from RNAcentral.
ACUCUUCGGAGUUAGUGGCGGACGGGUGAGUAACACGUGGGAACGUGCCUUUAGGUUCGGAAUAACUCAGGGAAACUUGAGCUAAUACCGGAUGUGCCCUUCGGGGGAAAGAUUUAUCGCCUUUAGAGCGGCCCGCGUCUGAUUAGCUAGUUGGUGAGGUAAAGGCUCACCAAGGCGACGAUCAGUAGCUGGUCUGAGAGGAUGAUCAGCCACAUUGGGACUGAGACACGGCCCAAACUCCUACGGGAGGCAGCAGUGGGGAAUCUUGCGCAAUGGGCGAAAGCCUGACGCAGCCAUGCCGCGUGAAUGAUGAAGGUCUUAGGAUUGUAAAAUUCUUUCACCGGGGACGAUAAUGACGGUACCCGGAGAAGAAGCCCCGGCUAACUUCGUGCCAGCAGCCGCGGUAAUACGAAGGGGGCUAGCGUUGCUCGGAAUUACUGGGCGUAAAGGGAGCGUAGGCGGACAUUUAAGUCAGGGGUGAAAUCCCGGGGCUCAACCUCGGAAUUGCCUUUGAUACUGGGUGUCUUGAGUAUGAGAGAGGUGUGUGGAACUCCGAGUGUAGAGGUGAAAUUCGUAGAUAUUCGGAAGAACACCAGUGGCGAAGGCGACACACUGGCUCAUUACUGACGCUGAGGCUCGAAAGC